This 1472-nucleotide ribosomal RNA is filed under the name uncultured Bordetella sp. RNAcentral's name for it is "partial 16S-23S ribosomal RNA intergenic spacer". It matches the Rfam family "Bacterial small subunit ribosomal RNA". Lineage: Bacteria; Pseudomonadati; Pseudomonadota; Betaproteobacteria; Burkholderiales; Alcaligenaceae. The record is from RNAcentral.
GGUUUGAUUCUGGCUCAGAUUGAACGCUGGCGGAUGCUUUACACAUGCAAGUCGAACGGCAGCACGGACUUCGGUCUGGUGGCGAGUGGCGAACGGGUGAGUAAUGUAUCUGAACGUGCCUUAUAGCGGGGAUAACUACGCGAAAGCGUAGCUAAUACCGCAUACGCCCUUCGGGGAGCGGGGGACCUUCGGGCCUCGCACUAUUAGAGCGGCCGAUAUCGACGAAUAACAGGGGGUAACGGCUCACCAAGGCGCACGAUCCGUAGCUGGUUUGAGAGGACGACCAGCCACACUGGGACUGAGACACGGCCCAGACUCCUACGGGAGGCAGCAGUGGGGAAUUUUGGACAAUGGGGGAAACUGAUCCGUUGCAUCCGCGUGCGAUGAAGGCUCCCGGUCAGGAAGCACUUUGGCAGGAAAGAAACGGCACGGGAUAAUACUCGUGCACCGACGGUACUCUUGGUGACGGCACCGGCUGUUCAUGCCAGCAGCCGCGUAACACGUAGGGUGCAAGCGUUAAUCGGAAUUACUGGACGUAAAGCGUGCGCAGGCGGUUCGGAAAGAAAGAUGAAAUCCCAGAGAGCUUAACUUUGGAACUGCAUUUUUAACUACCGGGAGCUAGGAGUGUGAGGGAGGUGGAAUUCCAGUGUAGCAGUGAAAUGCGUAGAUAUGCGGAGGAACACCGAUGGCGAAGGCAGCCUCCUGGGAUAACACUGACGCUCAUGCACGAAAGCGUGUGGGGAGCAAACAGGAUUAGAUACCCUGGUAGUCCACGCCCUAAACGAUGUCAAUCCAGCUGCUGGGGCCUUCUUCGCCUUGGUAGCGCAGCUAACGGCAGUUGACCGCCUGGGGAGUACGGUCGCAAGAUUAAAACUCAAAGGAAUUGACACGCAAGUGCGGAUGAUGUGGAUUAAUUCGAUGCAACGCGAAAAACCUUACCUACCCUUGACAUGUCUGGGAAUCCUAAAGAGAUUUGGGAGGUCGCAAGAGAACCGGUUAGCUGUAAGGUCGUCGUCACUGUGUCGAGAUGCUGGGUUAAGUCCCGCAACGAGCGCAACCCUUGUCAUUAGUUGCUACGAAAGGGCACUCUAAUGAGACUGCCGGUGACAAACCGGAGGAAGGUGGGGAUGACGUCAAGUCCUCAUGGCCCCAUGGGUAGGCUCAUCGUCAUAAUAUCAAGAGGUCGCCAACCCGCGAGGGGGAGCCAAUCCUGCAGAAACCCGAUCGUAGUCCGGAUCGCAGUCUGCAACUCGACUGCGUGAAGUCGGAAUCGCCAGUAACGCGGAUCAGCAUGUCGCGGUGAAUACGUUCCCGGGUCUUGUACACACCGCCCGUCACACCAUGUGGGAGUGGUUUUACCAGAAGCGAAGUUGCCUAACCGUAAGGAGGGCUGAUACUACUUUAGAUUCAUGACUGGGGGUGAAGUCGUAACAAGGCAACCCCAGCAUACCACGCUCCCAGGAGAACAUGCA